Molecule: long non-coding RNA, 407 nt
Organism: Ziziphus jujuba (common jujube)
Lineage: Eukaryota; Viridiplantae; Streptophyta; Magnoliopsida; Rosales; Rhamnaceae
Exons: 2
Source: RefSeq, a predicted model, not a curated record
GUGAAUUUUGCAAAUCGAUAGCAAUUUUGCACAGAUUACAUGAGUCACUGAAUAUUGUUGGCAAACUUGUCCAUACAUAGCUCUUUUUAACUAAGGAAGGAAUAUUAUGGCUUCCAAACUCUUUCUAACUGAGGAAGGAAUAUUAUGGCUUCUCAUUAGCCUAUCAAUUAUAUAUGUAACUAUUGAACAAUGAUGGAGCAAUCAUUUUGUUAGUACUAUGUUAUGAUUUCUCUACAACAUGUUCGUGAUUCAGCUUAUAUGAAAAUAGCCCAUGUACAAAGUGUCCUUACUAUUUUUCUUUUCACUACUUAUGUCUUUGAUAGUUAUAUGGUAAUGCAUAUUUUUAUGCAUGUUACAUGUACAAAUGCUUUACAGUUAUAUUUGAGUUGCCUAACUCAUUUGUUUAA